RNAcentral lists this unclassified non-coding RNA (89 nucleotides) under Pseudomonas helmanticensis. The record is from RNAcentral. Lineage: Bacteria; Pseudomonadati; Pseudomonadota; Gammaproteobacteria; Pseudomonadales; Pseudomonadaceae.
UGUAGGAGUGAGCCUGCUCGCGAUAGCGGUGUGUCAGUCAACUUACUCGUUACUGACAGAUUGCUAUCGCGAGCAGGCUCACUCCUACA